ACAUCGACCUGGUGGCUUGCUACUUCGAUGUCGUCUCUUCCUAUCCUGGGUCUGCAGCAGGACCCAAGGGUGGGGUUGUUCGCCCAUUAAAAGGGAUCGUGAGAUGGGUUUAGACCGUCGUGAGACAGGUUUGUUGCUUGGCGGUAGAAGCGUGUAAGAUGUCUGAUGGAAGGGGUCCUUCAGUACGAGAGGAACGAGGACUCGGGGCCACUGGUCUACCAGUUGUCUGACAAGGCAAUGCUGGGUAGCUACGCCCUAAUGGAUAAGAGCUGAAAGCAUCUAAGCUCGAAGCCACCCCAAAGACUAGACAUCUCAGGGCACUCGUAAAAGACGAGUUUGAUAGACUGCGGAUGUACGCACGAAGGUUCGCCGACGUGUUCAGUCCAGCAGCACUAAUCGCCCG
This 403-nucleotide ribosomal RNA is filed under the name Methanobacteriota archaeon. RNAcentral describes it as "Euryarchaeota archaeon (marine metagenome) partial 23S ribosomal RNA". It matches the Rfam family "Archaeal large subunit ribosomal RNA", at positions 2571 to 2974 of the family's 2987-position model. Lineage: Archaea; Methanobacteriati; Methanobacteriota. The record is from RNAcentral.